This 253-nucleotide ribosomal RNA is filed under the name uncultured bacterium. RNAcentral's name for it is "partial 16S ribosomal RNA". It matches the Rfam family "Bacterial small subunit ribosomal RNA", at positions 524 to 776 of the family's 1533-position model. The record is from RNAcentral.
UACGUAGGGUGCAAGCGUUAUCCGGAAUUAUUGGGCGUAAAGGGCUCGUAGGCGGUCUGUCACGUCGGGAGUGAAAACUCAGGGCUUAACCCUGAGCCUGCUUCCGAUACGGGCAGACUAGAGGUAUGCAGGGGAGAACGGAAUUCCUGGUGUAGCGGUGAAAUGCGCAGAUAUCAGGAGGAACACCGGUGGCGAAGGCGGUUCUCUGGGCAUUACCUGACGCUGAGGAGCGAAAGUGUGGGGAGCGAACAGG